UAGACCCUAUACUAAACGAUUAAUUACAAAAGAAAUAUAUAAUAUAGAAUUAGGCUGGAAUACUAUUAAUAGUAAAACACUCUUUUUACUAUCAAGUUUCUAACCCUUGGAUGAAAAAUUGUAGGGUCAGGAUGAUAUUAGUCAGUUAGAAAUUAGAAUUGAGUAGUCCCCCUAGAAUUCAGUGGUCCCCACUGGGUUAUAGUAUUUAAUCCAAUGAUUAGAAAUAAUGAAAAGAGUUGAUCCAAAGGCUAAAGAACUGGUAGCAACAAUGGAAUUUUGCUACUAAUAGUAGCCCAGUCCAACUCUAUUUAUAUAUAUAUAUAUAUAUAUAUAUAUAUAUAUAUAUAUAUAUAUAUAUAUAUAUAUAUAUAUAUAUAAAGAGAGAGAGAGAGAGAGAGUUGAGCUAGAAUACUAUCGAUUGCAAACGGGCUCCAUUGCCACUUAUUUGUUUUCGAUGAUAGAGCCUCUAAAUCGACGAUCGGUACCGUUGAAAAUAAUCUAUACCACUUGAAGUGUUUAGAAAUCAAAUUUCAAAUCUUUUCGACAUCAUUUGCCUAAUGAUCAAAAGGUUUCAAAUUUGCACUUUUAAUGGUCAAUAUGAGACGUUUUCUUGUUUAACGGCAUAAAGAUAUCCAAAUCAAUUGAAUUUUUGUUAGAAAAUUCUUUAAACUAUUUAAAACAAGAUCUAUACUUUUGAUCUUGAUUAAAAGAGUACUCCUAUCAUCAUUUUUUAAAGAAUAUUCAUUUUCAGCCGUUCAUUUUUGUGUCCGUUCGAUGGAUAAGAGAACAAUAUUGAAAAUAUAUGAAAUUUGAUUUCAAAAUACUUCAAGUGGUAUAGAACAUGUUCAAUGGUGCCGAUCGUCGAUUUGGAUGCUCCAUCAUCGAAAACAAAUGAGUGGCAACAGAGCCCGUUUGCUAUCGAUAGUAUUCUAGCUCAACUCUCUCUCUCUCUCUCUCUCUCUCUCUCUCUCUCUCUCUCUCUCUCUCUCUCUCU
Molecule: long non-coding RNA, 994 nt
Filed under: Ananas comosus (pineapple)
Lineage: Eukaryota; Viridiplantae; Streptophyta; Magnoliopsida; Poales; Bromeliaceae
Description: long non-coding RNA (ACOM_LNC037799)
Source: RNAcentral